UACGUAGGGCGCAAGCGUUGUCCGGAAUUAUUGGGCGUAAAGAACUCGUAGGCGGUUUGUCACGUCGGAUGUGAAAGCCCGGGGCUUAACCCCGGGUCUGCAUUCGAUACGGGCAGACUAGAGUGUGGUAGGGGAGAUCGGAAUUCCUGGUGUAGCGGUGAAAUGCGCAGAUAUCAGGAGGAACACCGGUGGCGAAGGCGGAUCUCUGGGCCAUUACUGACGCUGAGGAGCGAAAGCGUGGGGAGCGAACAGG
This 253-nucleotide ribosomal RNA is filed under the name uncultured bacterium. Its description in RNAcentral is "partial 16S ribosomal RNA". It matches the Rfam family "Bacterial small subunit ribosomal RNA", at positions 524 to 776 of the family's 1533-position model. The record is from RNAcentral.